Molecule: ribosomal RNA, 477 nt
Filed under: uncultured bacterium
Lineage: Bacteria
Description: partial 16S ribosomal RNA
Rfam family: Bacterial small subunit ribosomal RNA
Source: RNAcentral
GAUGAACGCUGGCGGCGUGCCUAACACACGCAAGUCGAACGAAGCACCUUACCUGAUUCUUCGGAUGAAAGUUUGGUGACUGAGUGGCGGACGGGUGAGUAACGCGUGGGUAACCUGCCCUGUACAGGGGGAUAACAGCUGGAAACGGCUGCUAAUACCGCAUAAGCGCACGAGGAGACAUCUCCUUGUGUGAAAAACUCCGGUGGUACAGGAUGGGCCCGCGUCUGAUUAGCUGGUUGGCAGGGUAACGGCCUACCAAGGCAACGAUCAGUAGCCGGUCUGAGAGGAUGAACGGCCACAUUGGAACUGAGACACGGUCCAAACUCCUACGGGAGGCUGCAGUGGGGAAUAUUGCACAAUGGGGGAAACCCUGAUGCAGCAACGCCGCGUGAGUGAAGAAGUAUUUCGGUAUGUAAAGCUCUAUCAGCAGGGAAGAUAAUGACGGUACCUGACUAAGAAGCUCCGGCUAAAUACGUG